GACGAACGCUGGCGGCGUGCUUAAUACAUGCAAGUCGAACGGAAAGGCCCUGCUUUUGUGGGGUGCUCGAGUGGCGAAAGGGUGAGUAACACGUGAGUAACCUGUCCCUGACUUUGGGAUAACUUCAGGAAACUGGGGCUAAUACCGGAUAGGAGCUCCUGAUGCACGGUGGGGGUUGGAAAGAUUCGGCGGUUGGGGAUGGACUCGCGGCUUAUCAGCUUGUUGGUGGGGUAGUGGCUUACCAAGGCUUUGACGGGUAGCCGGCCUGAGAGGGUGACCGGCCACAUUGGGACUGAGAUACGGCCCAGACUCCUACGGGAGGCAGCGGUGGGGAAUAUUGCACAAUGGGCGGAAGCCUGAUGCAGCAACGCCGCGUGCGGGAUGACGGCCUUCGGGUUGUAAACCGCUUUCGCCUGUGACGAAGCGUGAGUGACGGUAAUGGGUAAAGAAGCACCGGCUAACUACGUG
RNAcentral lists this ribosomal RNA (468 nucleotides) under uncultured bacterium. RNAcentral describes it as "partial 16S ribosomal RNA". It matches the Rfam family "Bacterial small subunit ribosomal RNA", at positions 28 to 507 of the family's 1533-position model. The record is from RNAcentral.